AAAUUCUGAACCCUUCUGGUAGUAAUUCCACCAAACACUCGUACUUACGCGGUUGGGCUUUUCGUCACGGGAACCAUUGUUGCGCUUUCGCCUGAGGCGACCUCGAAGUUUUUCGCUCCAACCAAAAAUGGCCCGAUCUCUACGACAGGGCUUCAACAUCGCCCGAGCGCACGUGCUUUCGCGGCCACGAUGGGCGUCGUCGCAGUCUUCGGAGGCGCUGGUGGAGGUCAAUGUCCCCGACUUUGGCAUGAUCUCCGGAAUUCCCGAACAGCAUCUCCGACGAAGGGUUAUAAUCUACUCGCCUGCUCGAACUGCGAGCCAACAAGGUUCUGGGAAAGUCGGGAGAUGGAAAAUUAAUUUUCUUUCGACGCAGAAGUGGGAAAACCCAUUGAUGGGAUGGACAUCUACAGGUGAUCCCUACGCCAAUGUUGGUGAAGCAGGACUGAGUUUUGAGAGUGAAGAAGCUGCGAAGGCAUUUGCUGAGAAACAUGGCUGGGAUUAUACGGUCAGGAAGCGUCACACUCCACUUUUGAAGGUCAAGGCUUAUGCAGACAACUUCAAGUGGAAGGGCCCUGAAAAGAGUGAGAAGACUGCAGCUGAUGCUGCAAACAUCUGAGAACGUUAUUUCCUCCCCCAGAAUGUCCCUACCUACCCCCGCAAAUGCCAUUGUGCGCGGUACAUACCAUUAGCGACAAUGACGUCAAGUCGCGGGUGUAGUACAAAUUUUUCAAGCACUGGAGCUGGAGGACUGACAGCCCUCUCUGCUGUGGGUGUGGAACCUCCAUUCAAAGAGGUAGUCCUUGGACUCACAGGACAGCUUCAUCACGUCGCAGAACGUGUUGAUCGCGUGCUUGUUCAUGUCUU
Molecule: RNA transcript, 864 nt
Organism: Malus domestica (apple)
Lineage: Eukaryota; Viridiplantae; Streptophyta; Magnoliopsida; Rosales; Rosaceae
Gene name: NADH dehydrogenase [ubiquinone] iron-sulfur protein 4, mitochondrial-like
Source: RefSeq, a predicted model, not a curated record